This 497-nucleotide ribosomal RNA is filed under the name uncultured bacterium. RNAcentral's name for it is "partial 16S ribosomal RNA". It matches the Rfam family "Bacterial small subunit ribosomal RNA", at positions 28 to 507 of the family's 1533-position model. The record is from RNAcentral.
GAUGAACGCUGGCGGCGUGCCUAAUACAUGCAAGUCGAGCGAACGGACGAGAAGCUUGCUCCUUCGAUGUUAGCGGCGGACGGGUGAGUAACACGUAGGUAACCUACCUAUAAGACUGGGAUAACUUCGGGAAACCGGAGCUAAUACCGGAUAAUAUUUUGAACCGCAUGGUUCGAUAGUGAAAGACGGUCUUGCUGUCACUUAUAGAUGGAUCUGCGCUGCAUUAGCUAGUUGGUAAGGUAACGGCUUACCAAGGCAACGAUGCGUAGCCGACCUGAGAGGGUGAUCGGCCACACUGGAACUGAGACACGGUCCAGACUCCUACGGGAGGCAGCAGUAGGGAAUCUUCCGCAAUGGGCGAAAGCCUGACGGAGCAACGCCGCGUGAGUGAUGAAGGUCUUCGGAUCGUAAAACUCUGUUAUUAGGGAAGAACAAAUGUGUAAGUAACUGUGCACAUCUUGACGGUACCUAAUCAGAAAGCCACGGCUAACUACGUG